Non-coding RNA from Cyanistes caeruleus (blue tit), 5651 nucleotides. The record is from RefSeq and is a predicted model, not a curated record. NCBI's taxonomy places the organism in Eukaryota, Metazoa, Chordata, Aves, Passeriformes, Paridae.
UCCCGCCCUCGGCCUGUGAGGGGAUAAAACACCUGGCGCUCCUUUCUUCGGGGUCCCUCUUGGGAGGCACCAGCUCCAGCUGUUACUUUGCAGGGGCCGCGAUCGCAGGAAGCUUUUGAGAGGAAAUUUUUGUGGAAUUGCGAGCUUGCCUGGAAAAUCGCCUGUCUGAAGAUAACGGCAUUUUAACACGACGAAUAGAGAUUUUUGAACAUUCCCCACCGGUUUUUCCCUCCCUGAGUGCCAGAAGGAGACAGACGGUGUGGAGGCACACGGCGGAGGGAGCGGCAUGAGUGUGGUGAUUUAAACUCCAAGUCCCAGCCCGCCGGUGUGCUGUGAAGGGCCGACUGCCGCUCAGCCCCAGCGAUAAUCAUAGAGGAACGUGUUGGCGGGGGAUAACUCACGCGUCUCCCUUCCGUGAGGUGGUAUCAGCGCGAUUUUUAUCUUGGCUAUAUGCCAAAGACGGUGUCGUGGUGCCUGCUUAUUUCUCUUCCCAUGCUCUGGCUUCUUUCUGCUUGGUUUUUGUAAAAUAAUGAUUUGAAAAUUGUUUUAACAUUGGAAUUAAUCUAAAAUGCCCUAAAAAUGUUUUUAGCAAUACUACCAUUCAAAAGUGAUGGAGAUCACUACACUAGGCUUUCCUUCAAUGCAGAAAUAUGUAAGGUAACAUGGCACUGAGUAAUGCAAUUUUUGUUUUCCCAAGGCUAAUAUCUCACUUGUAAUAGUUAAUGAGUUAACACCAGAGAUACAAUAGAUUGAAGUAAGCAAAGGUAAGACUUUACAGAUUUCACUGGAAUUUAUGGAGAAAAUCUAGUGUCAAGCAAAAAGUCCAUUUUGUGCUUUCUGAUAAGUGAAGUCAGGGUAAUUAAAAUGCUUUGAUGAAAUGUUUUACCUACAUAAUAGGUGUCCUUGGUCUGUUGCUUCUCAAGUUUUAUGUUUUUGGUUUUUUUUUGUUUGUUUGUUUUGUUUUAAUCUCCCAAACUUUUACAACAGCAGCAGUAGAAGGACCAGAGUCACAGACUUUUGGGAGAAAAGGAGUUUGUUUGUCCUGGUUUUGUUUUACUUUUGAGUAGGUUUCAGGAGUUUGUCAGUAGCCAUGCUGAAAGCAUGUUUAUAAUAGUUGUGUGCUCUGCUGUCAAAAACCUUAACAAACCUUUAAGUGAAUCUAAUUAAAGCAGUCUUUGAUAAUGGCAAUAAUAAAAGAUUGCUUUAAUUUACACUGUAAUGAAAGAAUUGUGCCAUUAAAUGUAGCAGGAAAUAGUGGAGCUGCUUUUCCAAACUAGGUAGAAAUUGCAUGCUGUGCUUUUAUGAUCUCAGUGAAGUCCCAGUGAUUGUCUUUCCAGCCAUCAGACAGAACUUCAGAAAUGAGGUAGUUCCUCCCUCUUCUGAAGGAGCGGUAUGUAUGGUCCAGUUACCCCGUUUGGUGUUUCCAGUGUGUUUCUUCUCUAAUCCUUGCACAUCUAUCCCCAAAGCCUGUCAUUUUAAUGGAGCCUGGCUGUUUUUGUGGUGUCUGAAUACCAAGCCUUGGGCUUGUAACAUUAGAAGUUCUUCUGGUUGGUAGGCUGAUUUUUUUUUUUCUCCUUGUAGUUUCUUUUGCAUUAUGUUGUUUCUUGGUGUCUUGUUGUUUAAGCCAGGAUAGCUCCAGAGACAUGAAAUGACAACUUCUCUUUUGGACCGUGAUUCUAGAUACCAGUUGGAUUGCCAGUCUUUGAGGAGUGGUGUGGUGUGACAGACAUGUCAGCAGGAUGUGUGGCUUUGCACUGCAGGUUAAUCACCAGAGAGCCUCAUGUCAUUUCUCCACUUUUCUGCUGCAGGUUCUGGUUUCAUUUUUGUUGUGUACUGAAUUUUAUAUUUAUUUUCAUGGGACCCUGGAUGAAGCCUGAACUUUAUGUUUUUGAGAGAAGAAUCCAAAAAAGGAAAGUAAGCAAUUUACCCCAGAUUAUUUCCUAAGGGAAAAGGGUCCUCCAUCUUUCACACAGAGGAGCAGAUGGUGGGAAGGAAAAUAUGGAUGUAAGGAAGCUGAUUAGCACUGGAGCCCCCAAAAGUAUAUAAUGGCCUGUAGGUAUGCUCAUCUUCUCUCUCCUCAGCCUGGUUUACUCACUAAGCAAGCUUGUCUCGAAGGCAGCACUUUCCCUUGGGUAGAGCUGAUGUGUUUGCAGCAGCCACCUCUCCCUUACGCUUUCUUGCCUGUUGAAGAGCCCAACCCAGCGUGGAAAAAGAAGAGCAAAACUGCCCAGGGAGCACAGCUGUCUGUCUGGAUGGAGGGGAGUGCCUGGAGAGGAGUGGGGGAAAGGAGGGCUUAAGAGUGUUUAUUCCUAAGUGAAAUCCUGCACCUGCCAUUUUCUCGUAGGAGAGGCAGCCCUUAUGCUGGAGUCCGGGGAGAGCAACAUCAUUGCUGAGUAGGAAGCCCACAAGGCACAGCAGAAGGCUCUAUUGAGCUGUUUUGGUGGAAGGAGAGAGAAGUGACUCAGUACAAUUCCAUGUAGUCUUGAUUUGCCAUUCACCAGCCUGGAGAGGGAUCUUCAGCCUUCACCUCCUGUCCUUAGGUCACACAGGAUGAAGAAAAUAUGACACUGGCAUUCUGGAUACCUGGACUUCAGGAAAAGCACCCUUGAGGGUGUGCAUUAUUCUGCAUCCCUACUGAGAGCUAAUUAGCCUUUUGCUUUCCUCGGUAUUGCUAGGGAUUUCUUUAAUAUCACUGUAAAAAGUAUUUGUAAGUCUGGUUGUGCUCUUUAGAUCCAGUAGCUGGGGCAUGUUGCCUUUGUGGCCGACAAGUAUUUACACUCUUUGUACAACAGCGGGAAGGAACUGCAGGAAGGUAACUGAAUCAUCAGCUCUGUUUUGGAAUUGACCAUUGCUUUAUUCCUGCCAUUUCUGUUGCUUUUUGGGAAUGGCUGCCUUUCCCACACAGCUCCAAGCAAGAAGAUGUGCAAAAGAAGAGCCAGUAACUUUUCACUUACACAAAAUGAGGAAAGAGCUCUGAGAGGGAGAAAGUGACCACACCUCACAGGCAGUUAAAUUUCUGUGGCUCAUUUCUUUGUAGAGAAUUCUCUACAAUAGAAUUCUCUCUUCUUUGUAGGGGAAGAAUCUCAUUUUUAUGUGGAUUGACUUACCAACUCAUUUGCAGAAAGAAUUAUAAAAUGCAAAUAUUUAUGAAUCACUGUAUAUGUUGUAAUCUUAUUUCUAAAACAAACAUUGCUUUGUACUGUGGCUCCUGUGGGCUGUGAGCUGAAAGAUUUUCCAGCAUUUAUCCCAUUUUGAGCAAUAAGCUGCAGGGAAUAAAUGCUGCUAGUCAGACUGGGAUGCAGUGUCUCCUGGAGCAUUUGUGCUCCUGGGAAGUUGUCAUCUCCUUUCAACAAGUGUUAGCAAAAAUAUUCACAUUAGCAUUAAAACUGGUUAUUUUCUGAUAUUUAGCUUAUAUUUAGGGAGAGGUCAUAGUCAAACAGGUGAUAGCAUUCUUGUUAAAUGUGGCUUGUGAAGUCUGGCUGGGGUUUCUUUUUGCAGGUAGAAGCUUCCUUCCUCUGGGGUGGCUUUUCUCCAGGGGGUGAGUGUGGAGCAGGCUGUGGGAGACACAAGGCAUGUCUGCUGUGUGCUGAGAUAGGAGAGACAGCUGGGAGGGGAAGGGAGAGCAGGCAAACGACCAAGGGCACCCUGGAGGUUUCGGAGUUUGGUUCCUGCACAGUGAGCCUCCAGAACAGGGGAGGGAGUGCUUUGUGUUUUUAGGAAGGCAUGUUCCUGCAGUCGGGAUGGACGGGGUCCCUUCUGGGUGGGUGUUUGUGCCUGAGUGAGCUGCAACCUGGCUGGGUGGUGAUGGUGGCAGGGCAAGCCCUGUGCCUCCACUGCUGCCCCUUGCAGCUCUCCCUGGGAAACCAUCCUGCUGUGCAGUGCUGGGCAGGGGACUCUCCUCUUCUUGGGUGUAUUGGAAAACCUUCUGAGAAAAAAAUCGGUUGUACCGAUUUUGAGAGAAAGCAACUUGUGAUCCAACAUAUUGGCAACUGGUGGGAAAUAAGGCUGCUGCCAUAAAAUUAUGCAAUAAAUAUCUCUGCACCAUGAAUUCUGGUGCCUUUUCUUGAUUAUAUUUCUUCUUAUAAGAGGCUAUAUGAAUAAAUAUUGAGGCUAAAUAAAAGAGUAGCCUAUCUGCAGGGAGCUGCUUUGUGUCUGGAGCAGUCGGUAAUAUGCUUGUAUACAACUACUAAUGGUUUGCAUGAAGCCUGAGGACUUCAGGAACUGGGUUAGUUACAAAGGUUAAGACCAGUCCAGAUGGAUGGGUGCAAUGCCCUUUAUCAAAAUACAACACAAAAAUAAGAGAGAGUAAAUCAAAUGAUAUGAAGGAAGCAGAUUCUUUUGUUGUGGAAAAUAUCUUGAGCAUUAAUCACUUCUUCUGCUGGAUAGAUGCAAACAUGAGAAAGGAGAUGAUUUCCUUCCAAAUUACAGUGCAGAGUGUUUUUUAAGGAAGAUACUAAUCCCUGUGCAGAACAGUAGUUGCUGAUCUCCAAGCUGAAAAUUAUUAUGCACUUCUUAAUUUGUCUCUAUGAUUAAGCUCAAAUAAAUCAGGGUAUAAAUGCAUUAUUAGAAUGAAGUUAUGUAAUAUGCAUGUGCCCCUAAUACUAAUAUGUUAUGUAUGUCUGCUAUAUACAGCUGCAUGACACAGUGUAUUUAUUAAAAAUCUAGAAAUUGUACAUUCCUGAAACUGCAGAUUUUUAUUCACCUGCUUGUGAGCCUGGGGGUAUGCAACAGUUAUUUAUCAUUGUACUCUGAUGAAACCCUGCUAAAAAUGAAACUGCUGUGAAGAAAUGUGGACCUACAGUGGGAAACUAAAAUUUCAGGUGCUAAUACACUUCUGCAUAUCAAAAAUUGACUUAUGCCUUUGCUUAUUUUCAAGGAGCUCCUUUAUAAAAAAAGCAAAGAAUAUGUAGUCUCUGUAUGCUCAGUAAGGCAGAGAUAGAAAAUUUUUUAAAAAGGCAAAUUGAAUAUGAUGUUAUGCAUUUAGGAUUCUUCUCAGCCUGGUUUAGAUUUCUCUCAUGUGUUUCCCCAAGAAGUCAGACUGCUUAAAGAAUAAAUGAAAUAAAAGUUUAAAUUACAGAAUCAAGCCAUGGUCACAGACGAGGAUGAAGAGCAAUGAAUUGGUGAGUCAGGGCUUUUUUUUUUCUUUCUGUGACAGGUCAUAAAUAGUUACUGUUUUUGGAAAAAUAAAAAGGUAAAAGUCUACUAAAACUUAAAAUCUUUGCUGAAAGAUUACAAAAUGGACUGCAAAGACAUUUUAUUUGAUUACAUUUCUAAACAUUUAGCUUUCGGGGAAAAGAUUAAACUCAAUAAAAUUGUCACUCUUUUGAGCAGUCUUACAGGUAAUAAAUAAACAGAAGAAGGCAACUGUCUUCUCUCAUUACGCUCAUCAGGGUUUUUCUUGGAAUAUAGACAAUGCAUCAAGGAGUUUCUUUGUGAGUUAUUGGAGGGAGUAAUCCACAGGCUAAGCAACAUACACAUGCAUUCUGAAACAGGAUGGCUGUUAAGGCUUGCUGAGAGUGUGGUGUACAUUAAAUACUGUAGUACCCCUUCACUUUUACCAGGCCUGACAACUUUACAGGUUGAAGAAAGACUUAAAACUGGUCAGUUAUGGAAUACAGAAAACGGAGCAAUUUUUGUGGCACAAUCCAAAA